Chroicocephalus ridibundus (black-headed gull) is the source of this 1379-nucleotide long non-coding RNA. RefSeq lists it as uncharacterized. NCBI's taxonomy places the organism in Eukaryota, Metazoa, Chordata, Aves, Charadriiformes, Laridae. The transcript is spliced from 3 exons. The record is from RefSeq and is a predicted model, not a curated record.
GGGAGGGAGCGCGGAGAGGGCACACACGACGCUUCAACCCCAAAGGGAUCCGGCCCUUCAGCCCGGGGAUGAUUCCUACUUAGCCUGGUGAAGGCUUAAUGAUACAUGCUGCCAUACCGGUUUUGAGGAGAUCGUGGACAGAGCGAGACGGCUGUGGGAGAUGCUUGAGUUGCCCAAAACAAAUGUAGCCCCCCCCUCCCCAAGCAGAGGAGGAUGCUCCAAGCAAACAAAUAAAAUGAUGGAUGGUUCCUUCUGACAGCAGGGCAGAUUUUAAGUGACAAGAAUCCUGCCAGGGAUACGUUGAGGAUGGAAUACAUAUGAUAACAAUUUAAUAUGUACAGCACACAAGGGAAAAGUUUAUUAAUAUCACAUGGCGCAAUUGAAUUAGAUAUUUUAAUUAAACCUAAAUUUAUCUCACUGAUAGUGACUGUCAGUGGAUGUUUUGGGAAAUACAUGAACAUUUCGCUGAAAUCAUUGGUUUAAACAAAAGGAUAGUUUCCUCUUUCAAUAUUUCAAAUAUAUUAUGAUCACGUCAGCUAAAUGUUGCGGAGAAACAAUAUUAAGCUGCUACUGAAUGAGGUAAUGAGGUGAGAGAGCAUAGAAUAUCCUGUAACAUAACAUUUGCCACAUAUGACUGUCCCAGGCAAGUCCUAUUCUUUAGGAAGCCUCGUAAACAUAAUGUCCAGUCUACAUCCCCUUAUGUUAUUUUCUUAAGAUGCUUUUUUCAUAACCCUAGGAAAUAAAUAGAUGUGCUCAGGGACCAGGAAGACUGAACAACAACAAAAUUUGUAUCACUACAAAAACAUUCACAUGUAUUGCAUGAAGUAGAAAGGGACCGAGAUUUGGCCAAAACAAGUGGAAUCUAUGAUUUGUUGGGAAUCUAGGAAUAUUUCUGCCUUUUUUAAAGUGAAAUGUACCAGUUUGAAAAGCACCAGCUUGUUUUUAUUGCAUAAUUUGACUCUGUGGAUUGAACUAUUUUUGCCAAGUUUUGUCAAUCUGCCUGGCCUGUUUUAUACAAUUUACGCACAGUUAAUACAUCAUUCAUCAACUCUGUGUAAAUGAUGGGAUUUUUUUUUUCCUUCUCUCUGCUCCUAAUGUCACACAGCUAUGUCUGCCCAGUUCUGACUAAAUUACCCAGCUAAACUUUGAGAUAUAUAUGCACAUUAAGUAACAUAGCAUUUUGUUUCUUCAUUCCUUCAGUUCCUUCUUGUUUUGUUAUUAGUUAAUAACACAUCUUUGUCAGCUGUAGGUGGAUUCACUGUGAAGAGUCUUCUUUUAAACAACAAAAUAAUCCGUAAUAUGCUGUGUUAUGUAAUGAAAGCGAUGUAUAUAUAGAGAGAAUAUUUAUGCACAGUGAGUUUAAGGAAAAAAGAAAUAAA